Molecule: ribosomal RNA, 434 nt
Filed under: uncultured Lachnospiraceae bacterium
Lineage: Bacteria; Bacillati; Bacillota; Clostridia; Lachnospirales; Lachnospiraceae
Description: partial 16S ribosomal RNA
Rfam family: Bacterial small subunit ribosomal RNA
Source: RNAcentral
ACGGAAGGCAGCAGUGGGGAAUAUUGCACAAUGGGCGAAAGCCUGAUGCAGCGACGCCGCGUGAGUGAAGAAGUAUCUCGGUAUGUAAAGCUCUAUCAGCAGGGAAGAAAAUGACGGUACCUGACUAAGCAGCCCCGGCUAACUACGUGCCAGCAGCCGCGGUAAUACGUAGGGGGCAAGCGUUAUCCGGAUUUACUGGGUGUAAAGGGAGCGUAGACGGUUUGGCAAGUCUGAAGUGAAAUGCGGGGGCUCAACUCCUGAACUGCUUUGGAAACUGUCGAACUAGAGUGCAGGAGAGGUAAGUGGAAUUCCUAGUGUAGCGGUGAAAUGCGUAGAUAUUAGGAGGAACACCAGUGGCGAAGGCGGCUUACUGGACUGUAACUGACGUUGAGGCUCGAAAGCGUGGGGAGCAAACAGGAUUAGAUACCCUGGUA